Aethalodelphis obliquidens (Pacific white-sided dolphin) is the source of this 91-nucleotide long non-coding RNA. RefSeq lists it as uncharacterized. The transcript is spliced from 3 exons. NCBI's taxonomy places the organism in Eukaryota, Metazoa, Chordata, Mammalia, Artiodactyla, Delphinidae. The record is from RefSeq and is a predicted model, not a curated record.
AUUAUAAUAAAUGAAUUCAGCAAGGUAGAAGGAUACAAGACUAACAUACAGAAGUCAGUUGCAUUUCUUUACACUAACAAUGAAAUAGAAA